Molecule: long non-coding RNA, 1122 nt
Filed under: Equus caballus (horse)
Lineage: Eukaryota; Metazoa; Chordata; Mammalia; Perissodactyla; Equidae
Description: lncRNA (ENSECAG00000045878.1)
Source: RNAcentral
AGUUUUCGGAAUAAAAUAUGUGUGGCAUAUAAUAAAACAGGAAAUUAGCAAGCAACCUAAAAAUAGUAUCUGUUUUACUGCCUUGCUCACUAUUUCUAAGGAGAACACAAGCUCACAUUCUUGCAACUCAAGGAGUUAUCUUUACCUAAAAAUUGGAACGCAUGAGGGAAAAGUUGCCAUUUGCUAACUGUGUAACAAAGAAAAUUCUGCCCGUCGUGCCAAGACAUUAUGCAGUAGGUGGUGUUAACAUGGGAAGCUUUUAUCCCGGGAAAGUAGAAGCCCCAUUACCUCCUAAGUUAAUAACUGCAACCUGUAAUAGGAAGUUCUAUUUUAGUAGAGCUUUGUAUAUUUUUAAAAAAUAAGAAAAGAUCAUUUGUCUCCUUUUCUAUGAACCGGGCCACGCAAUCAGCUGCCAAUGCCUUUUCUUUUUUUAUUCUAUUCCCUCAAAAAAGAAAAGGCAAUAAUAGUCCUACAAGGUUGACUCCACAUGAAUGGACUAAAUUCACAAGAAUGGGAUUUUUUCACAGGGGAAGGAGCCUCCCAGCACUGGAGGCAGAGAUUAAUGUCUGGGAGUAAGCAGACCACAGAUCAUUUGAUAAAUUUUGUUUCGAACGUUGUCUCUGAAGAAUGAUUUCAACAAGCCAGAACAAAAUCCAUCUUUUUAAUUUGUAGUCACACCAUGUAAAUCAGGCUUUUUACAGAAAUGCAGAGUCUCUCAGGAAUGAUUAGGGAAUUGAUGAUACACAAACGUUUCUAACAAUGGCGCUGAGUGCCAGGGAGGAAUGAGACCUGUGCUCUCACACGAGCCCACACUGUGUGUCCUGUGGGACGUGGUGUGACAGGGCAUUAACCUGAGGUAACUAUGCUUCAUUCAUUGUGUUCUGAAGGGCCUAGAGCAGUCUUUCACUCUUCGUGGGCACCUCCAGAGUCUCAUCUCUAAAGGAAGGGAAUGAACUGAUCUGGACAUCAGCAGAGCCACCAAAACAAUCAGUUGAGCGCAUGCUGUCCAAGUGCUUCCUUGUUAACAGUACUGAGGAGACUUUACUUUGAAGCUCUGGAGGAACAAGAACAGGGUGGGCUGAAAGGACUUUCACUCCUGCAACAGAAUAAACCACAUACCUU